Molecule: ribosomal RNA, 433 nt
Filed under: uncultured bacterium
Lineage: Bacteria
Description: partial 16S ribosomal RNA
Rfam family: Bacterial small subunit ribosomal RNA
Source: RNAcentral
AACGAACGCUGGCGGCAUGCCUAACACAUGCAAGUCGAACGAGACCUUCGGGUCUAGUGGCGCACGGGUGCGUAACGCGUGGGAACCUGCCCUUAGGUUCGGAAUAACUCCCCGAAAGGGGUGCUAAUACCGGAUAAUGUCUUCGGACCAAAGAUUUAUCGCCUUGGGAUGGGCCCGCGUUGGAUUAGCCAGUUGGUAGGGUAAAAGCCUACCAAGGCGACGAUCCAUAGCUGGUCUGAGAGGAUGAUCAGCCACACUGGGACUGAGACCCGGCCCAGACUCCUACGGGAGGCAGCAGUGGGGAAUAUUGGACAAUGGGCGAAAGCCUGAUCCAGCAAUGCCGCGUGAGUGAUGAAGGCCUUAGGGUUGUAAAGCUCUUUUACCCGGGAUGAUAAUGACAGUACCGGGAGAAUAAGCUCCGGCUAACUCCGUG